UAUAUGGUAGGAGAGCGUUCUGUAAGCCUGCGAAGGUGUCUUGUAAAGGAUGCUGGAGGUAUCAGAAGUGCGAAUGCUGACAUGAGUAGCGAUAAUGGGAGUGAAAAGCUCCCACGCCGUAAGCCCAAGGUUUCCUGUUCAACGUUCAUCGGAGCAGGGUGAGUCGGCCCCUAAGGCGAGGCAGAGAUGCGUAGCUGAUGGGAAGCAGGUUAAUAUUCCUGCACCGUCGUAUGAUGCGAUGGGGGGACGGAUCGCGGAAGGUUGUCCAACGGUUGGAAGUGUUGGUUUUUGACUCAUAGAAGGCGCUUAGGCAAAUCCGGGCGCGCAAUUCAAGGGGUCGAGACGAGGAACUUAGGUUCUGAAGCAAUCGGAAGUGGUUCCAAGAAAAGCCUCUAAGCUUCAGUCAUACGAGACCGUACCGCAAACCGACACAGGUGGGCGAGAUGAGUAUUCUAAGGCGCUUGAGAGAACUCGGGAGAAGGAACUCGGCAAAUUGGUACCGUAACUUCGGGAAAAGGUACGCCCCGGUAGCUUGACUGCUUUACUGCAGAAGGGUGAAAGGGUUGCAAUAAACUGGUGGCUGCGACUGUUUAAUAAAAACACAGCACUCUGCAAACACGAAAGUGGACGUAUAGGGUGUGACGCCUGCCCGGUGCUGGAAGAUUAAAUGAUGGGGUGCAAGCUCUUGAUUGAAGUCCCAGUAAACGGCGGCCGUAACUAUAACGGUCCUAAGGUAGCGAAAUUCCUUGUCGGGUAAGUUCCGACCUGCACGAAUGGCGUAACGAUGGCCACACUGUCUCCUCCCGAGACUCAGCGAAGUUGAAAUGUUUGUGAUGAUGCAAUCUACCCGCGGCUAGACGGAAAGACCCCAUGAACCUUUACUGUAGCUUUGCAUUGGACUUUGAACCAAUCUGUGUAGGAUAGGUGGGAGGCUUUGAAGCGGGGACGCCAGUCUUCGUGGAGCCAUCCUUGAAAUACCACCCUGGUUUGUUUGAGGUUCUAACCUUGGUCCGUUAUCCGGAUCGGGGACAGUGCAUGGUAGGCAGUUUGACUGGGGCGGUCUCCUCCUAAAGUGUAACGGAGGAGUUCGAAGGUACGCUAGAUACGGUCGGACAUCGUGUUGAUAGUGCAAUGGCAUAAGCGUGCUUAACUGCGAGACUGACAAGUCGAGCAGGUACGAAAGUAGGACAUAGUGAUCCGGUGGUUCUGUAUGGAAGGGCCAUCGCUCAACGGAUAAAAGGUACUCUGGGGAUAACAGGCUGAUUCCUCCCAAGAGUUCAUAUCGACGGGGGAGUUUGGCACCUCGAUGUCGGCUCAUCACAUCCUGGGGCUGUAGCCGGUCCCAAGGGUAUGGCUGUUCGCCAUUUAAAGUGGUACGUGAGCUGGGUUUAAAACGUCGUGAGACAGUUUGGUCCCUAUCUGCCGUGGGCGUUGGAAAUUUGAAGGGGGCUGCUCCUAGUACGAGAGGACCGGAGUGGACAGACCUCUGGUGUACCGGUUGUCACGCCAGUGGCAUUGCCGGGUAGCUAAGUCUGGAAGAGAUAACCGCUGAAAGCAUCUAAGCGGGAAACUUGCCUUGAGAUGAGAUUUCCCAGAGCCUUGAGCUCUUUAAAGGGUCGUUCGAGACCAGGACGUUGAUAGGUCAGGUGUGGAAGUGCAGUAAUGCAUUAAGCUAACUGAUACUAAUUGCCCGUACGGCUUGUCCCU
This 1707-nucleotide ribosomal RNA is filed under the name Massilia pseudoviolaceinigra. RNAcentral's name for it is "partial 23S ribosomal RNA". It matches the Rfam family "Bacterial large subunit ribosomal RNA", at positions 1222 to 2925 of the family's 2925-position model. The record is from RNAcentral. Lineage: Bacteria; Pseudomonadati; Pseudomonadota; Betaproteobacteria; Burkholderiales; Oxalobacteraceae.